AAUGGGUCAGCGACUUAUAUUCUGUAGCAAGGUUAACCGAAUAGGGGAGCCGAAGGGAAACCGAGUCUUAACUGGGCGUUAAGUUGCAGGGUAUAGACCCGAAACCCGGUGAUCUAGCCAUGGGCAGGUUGAAGGUUGGGUAACACUAACUGGAGGACCGAACCGACUAAUGUUGAAAAAUUAGCGGAUGACUUGUGGCUGGGGGUGAAAGGCCAAUCAAACCGGGAGAUAGCUGGUUCUCCCCGAAAGCUAUUUAGGUAGCGCCUCGUGAAUUCAUCUCCGGGGGUAGAGCACUGUUUCGGCAAGGGGGUCAUCCCGACUUACCAACCCGAUGCAAACUGCGAAUACCGGAGAAUGUUAUCACGGGAGACACACGGCGGGUGCUAACGUCCGUCGUGAAGAGGGAAACAACCCAGACCGCCAGCUAAGGUCCCAAAGUCAUGGUUAAGUGGGAAACGAUGUGGGAAGGCCCAGACAGCCAGGAUGUUGGCUUAGAAGCAGCCAUCAUUUAAAGAAAGCGUAAUAGCUCACUGGUCGAGUCGGCCUGCGCGGAAGAUGUAACGGGGCUAAACCAUGCACCGAAGCUGCGGCAGCGACGCUUAUGCGUUGUUGGGUAGGGGAGCGUUCUGUAAGCCUGUGAAGGUGUGCUGUGAGGCAUGCUGGAGGUAUCAGAAGUGCGAAUGCUGACAUAAGUAACGAUAAAGCGGGUGAAAAGCCCGCUCGCCGGAAGACCAAGGGUUCCUGUCCAACGUUAAUCGGGGCAGGGUGAGUCGACCCCUAAGGCGAGGCCGAAAGGCGUAGUCGAUGGGAAACAGGUUAAUAUUCCUGUACUUGGUGUUACUGCGAAGGGGGGACGGAGAAGGCUAUGUUGGCCGGGCGACGGUUGUCCCGGUUUAAGCGUGUAGGCUGGUUUUCCAGGCAAAUCCGGAAAAUCAAGGCUGAGGCGUGAUGACGAGGCACUACGGUGCUGAAGCAACAAAUGCCCUGCUUCCAGGAAAAGCCUCUAAGCAUCAGGUAACAUCAAAUCGUACCCCAAACCGACACAGGUGGUCAGGUAGAGAAUACCAAGGCGCUUGAGAGAACUCGGGUGAAGGAACUAGGCAAAAUGGUGCCGUAACUUCGGGAGAAGGCACGCUGAUACGUAGGUGAAGUCCCUCGCGGAUGGAGCUGAAAUCAGUCGAAGAUACCAGCUGGCUGCAACUGUUUAUUAAAAACACAGCACUGUGCAAACACGAAAGUGGACGUAUACGGUGUGACGCCUGCCCGGUGCCGGAAGGUUAAUUGAUGGGGUUAGCGGUAACGCGAAGCUCUUGAUCGAAGCCCCGGUAAACGGCGGCCGUAACUAUAACGGUCCUAAGGUAGCGAAAUUCCUUGUCGGGUAAGUUCCGACCUGCACGAAUGGCGUAAUGAUGGCCAGGCUGUCUCCACCCGAGACUCAGUGAAAUUGAACUCGCUGUGAAGAUGCAGUGUACCCGCGGCAAGACGGAAAGACCCCGUGAACCUUUACUAUAGCUUGACACUGAACAUUGAGCCUUGAUGUGUAGGAUAGGUGGGAGGCUUUGAAGUGUGGACGCCAGUCUGCAUGGAGCCGACCUUGAAAUACCACCCUUUAAUGUUUGAUGUUCUAACGUUGGCCCCUGAUCGGGGUUGCGGACAGUGUCUGGUGGGUAGUUUGACUGGGGCGGUCUCCUCCUAAAGAGUAACGGAGGAGCACGAAGGUUGGCUAAUCCUGGUCGGACAUCAGGAGGUUAGUGCAAUGGCAUAAGCCAGCUUGACUGCGAGCGUGACGGCGCGAGCAGGUGCGAAAGCAGGUCAUAGUGAUCCGGUGGUUCUGAAUGGAAGGGCCAUCGCUCAACGGAUAAAAGGUACUCCGGGGAUAACAGGCUGAUACCGCCCAAGAGUUCAUAUCGACGGCGGUGUUUGGCACCUCGAUGUCGGCUCAUCACAUCCUGGGGCUGAAGUAGGUCCCAAGGGUAUGGCUGUUCGCCAUUUAAAGUGGUACGCGAGCUGGGUUUAGAACGUCGUGAGACAGUUCGGUCCCUAUCUGCCGUGGGCGCUGGAGAACUGAGGGGGGCUGCUCCUAGUACGAGAGGACCGGAGUGGACGCAUCACUGGUGUUCGGGUUGUCAUGCCAAUGGCACUGCCCGGUAGCUAAAUGCGGAAGAGAUAAGUGCUGAAAGCAUCUAAGCACGAAACUUGCC
This 2201-nucleotide ribosomal RNA is filed under the name Escherichia coli. RNAcentral describes it as "partial 23S ribosomal RNA". It matches the Rfam family "Bacterial large subunit ribosomal RNA", at positions 614 to 2798 of the family's 2925-position model. Lineage: Bacteria; Pseudomonadati; Pseudomonadota; Gammaproteobacteria; Enterobacterales; Enterobacteriaceae. The record is from RNAcentral.